This 253-nucleotide ribosomal RNA is filed under the name uncultured bacterium. RNAcentral's name for it is "partial 16S ribosomal RNA". It matches the Rfam family "Bacterial small subunit ribosomal RNA", at positions 524 to 776 of the family's 1533-position model. The record is from RNAcentral.
UACGGAGGGUGCAAGCGUUAUCCGGAUUUACUGGGUUUAAAGGGUGUGUAGGCGGGCUAUUAAGUCAGCGGUGAAAUCUCGGGGCUCAACCCCGAAACUGCCAUUGAUACUAUUAGUCUUGAAUACUGUGGAGGUAUGCGGAAUGUGUCAUGUAGCGGUGAAAUGCUUAGAGAUGACACAGAACACCGAUUGCGAAGGCAGCGUACUACACAGUGAUUGACGCUGAGGCACGAAAGCGUGGGGAGCAAACAGG